Molecule: ribosomal RNA, 497 nt
Filed under: uncultured bacterium
Lineage: Bacteria
Description: partial 16S ribosomal RNA
Rfam family: Bacterial small subunit ribosomal RNA
Source: RNAcentral
GAUGAACGCUGGCGGCGUGCCUAAUACAUGCAAGUCGAGCGAACAGACGAGGAGCUUGCUCCUCUGACGUUAGCGGCGAGCGGGUGAGUAACACGUGGAUAACCUACCUAUACGACUGGGAUAGCGUCGGGAAACCGGAGCUAAUACGGGAUAAUAUCUUGAACCGGAUGGUUCAAUAGUGAAAGACGGUGUUGGUGUCACUUAUAGGUGGAUCCGCGCCGCAUUAGCUAGUUGGUAAGGUAACGGCUUACCAAGGGAACGAUGCGUAGCCGACCUGAGAGGGUGAUCGGCCACACUGGAACUGAGACACGGUCCAGACUCCUACGGGAGGCAGCAGUAGGGAAUCUUCCGCAACGGGCGAAAGCCUGACGGAGCAACGCCGCGUGAGUGAUGAAGGUCUUCGGAUCGUAAAACUCUGUUAUUAGGGAAGAACAAAUGUGUAAGUAACUAUGCACGUCUUGACGGUACCUAAUCAGAAAGCCACGGCUAACUACGUG